This 5720-nucleotide long non-coding RNA is filed under the name Oncorhynchus mykiss (rainbow trout). RNAcentral's name for it is "lncRNA (ENSOMYG00000077525.1)". Lineage: Eukaryota; Metazoa; Chordata; Actinopteri; Salmoniformes; Salmonidae. The record is from RNAcentral.
GUAUAACAAAUAUAUGUAUUUCAACAUUGUUGUAGAGAACAAAGGAAUCUAGAGAUUUGAGAUUAAAUUGAUGAACAGAAAAACGAAUAAUUCUACCCACUGUCAUCUCUGUUCACAGCGUGUCUGGUGUAAAAACAACAGGCAACAAUUUGAUUACUUAAACGCUUGAGUCGAGAAAAAUGAAUGGCACAUUGUCAAAGCAUGCAGGCACACCACGGGAUGAUCAUUACUGAAUUAUGUAGAAAUACACAUAAAAAGUGCCAGAGGUUGCGGACUGGGGUGGUCUAGCGGUCUAAGCCACUGCCUCUGCCCCACUGCUACAAUAUUUCAGCACAUCGCCUCUAUCUCUAUUCAAUUCAAUAAACAUGAAACAUGGGACUGCCCCACUCGUUUAAAAAUAUAAAUGUGGCCCACAUGGCCCCUGGGGAAUUGGCAUUUGAUUCCUUGAUCAACCUCUUUCAACUAUUUAUUCAACCCUCUCUCACCUGUCCCCCUCUCAUUAUGUGUAUCUGAAUAAACAACGAAUACGAACAUUGAACUUUAUUCCGUUCUCCUUCAAAGGAAUUACUUGUUUGUUGUGUUGCAUUAUUGUGACCAUGUCUUCUACUCUUUCCUCCAGGGGAGCCGCUGGCAGGUCGAUCCGGACUGGGCGUCCCCCGAGGUUACUGGAACUUCUCCUGGAUGGCCCAGGAUGAGCUGAACUCCCCCAAGGUCAUGGCACCGACGUCAGAUAUCGGGUGCCCUGGAAAAAGGAAGUCAUGUGACCGCCCGUACCCCGAAUAUAACCCUUAUUUCACGUGGAGCGUGGUGGUGGCGGAGAACCCUUGGGAAGAGGGGAACGAGAGGAUGGAAAGGAAAGGAGGAAGUCCACAGGGCUGGGAGGAAGGUAUGAAUAAAGGUAUCACAAUUCCCUCCGAGCCAGGGAAGUACCUUCUACAUGAUUGCAUGUUUCAUAUAGUAAUUCCAAAAUUAUUCAGGAGUACCGUGUCCAUAUUACGACAGCCUCAGUCAGCAGGACUUAACUGGAGGCAUUGUCUUUCAUACACGGGUGGCAACCAACACUCAUACCUAAGAUUAUUUUCAGAAAUGCUGUGUGCUUGUUCAGGAAUAACUCUAAUUGUAAAAGCUGCAUUUGUGUUUGUUCUACAACCUUGGUUCAAACAACACAUUUGACAACAGUGGUGCUACAGGAGAAAAGUGAAUAGAUAAUCUCACACUAUGAGAACACAAAAGCAGAACCAUACACUGCUGAAGGUUAAAAAUAUUUGCUUUUAAUUGGGGGAAACCUUCAGGUAGAAUACUACACGACAUGCAUCAAAGUUAAACUCUACAUUGAGUAUACAAAACAUUAACAUUAAGAACACCUUCUAUUUCCAUGACCAGGUGAAAGCUAUGAUCCCUUAUUGAUGUCACUUGUUAAAUCCACUUAAAAUCAGUGUAGAUGAAGGGGAGUAGAGAGGUUAAAUAAGGAGACAAUUGAAACGGGGAUUGUGUAUGUGUGCCAUUCAGAGGGUGAAUUGGCAAGACAAAAGAUUUAAGGGCAUUUGAAUGGGAUAUGGUAGUAGGUGCCAGUAGGUACUCCGGUUUAUGUCAAGAACUGAAACGCUGCUCAACUCAAUAUUAGGAAGGUAUUCCUAAUGUUUGAUAUACUCAGUGUAUUUCAGUGUUAUUGAGAAACAUUGAAUAGUCUCCCUUUUUGAAGAGAGGUAAGAAUGAGUGAGUUGUUUGUAAAAUGAGAAAUCAUCUUCUUUCAGUCCAUUUCCAGAAGCGAUGUUGUACAUUUACUUACAUGCUAUUAUGAUUGUUAUCGUGUCCCCCCAAGUACCUGGGUCGGGACAUAUGUUUUAUUGUGGAUAAGGAACUUGUCGGGUAGCAGGGAGUUUAGAUCCAAUGCUCUUGGUAGUGGUUGGGGGUUGGCUAAACAAAGGAAGGAAUUUAAAAUGCGUAAUCGAAAGCGAGAAAAAGAGAGAGAAAGAAAGUGAGAGCCGGUGGGAUGGUCAAAUGUCUGGGUAGGUGCUGUAUGACUCUCUGUCUUCUAUGUUUUUUCAUCUGCAGAACAACAGCAUCCGAGUCCACAUUAAUCCAUAAAGCAUUUGUCUAGAAAGUUUAUGCAUUUAUUUCCAUUUCAAAGAAGGGAUAGUGAUGGAAUGAGAGAGAGAGAGAGAGAGAGAGAGAUAGGAGUGAUGGUGCGAGAGAAGGAGAGAGAGGUGUAUGUGUGGUGGGUGUUAAGGAUUGAUGCAUUCAUUUCUGUUUCAGAGAAGCAAUAGAGUGAUGAAAUGAGAGAGUGAAAGAGAGAGAGAAGUUGUGUGUGGUGGGGGAUUGGGGUUGGGGCCUACAAAGCUUCCUCAUUAGUCAGUCAGGUGGCACUUUGUUCCGAGAAUUACAAGCUCUUGAGGCACAACUUCUGCACUUCAAAGGAAAAUCAAAACAAAUCUCAAUGCAGUCCAGACACCUCUCUCUCUCAUUCUCACUUUCAAUCGCAACAAUUGCCUUCUAAUGUGUGAGGGUGUCCGGAAAGUCUUUGAAAUUGCAAGGUAAUGAUAGCAACUAAAAACAACCCACAUAAAACAGUCCAAACAAACAUAAUGGCAAAUUGAUCAAAGAUGGUAUCUCAUAAAUGUUUAACUGCAGAUACAUUCUGAGUUCGUUUUGCCACAGUGGACCAGAAAAUCAGACAUAACUAAUAAAAUGUUCGUGAAAUGUCUAAAUCAAACCCGGGCUGCAGGUAUCCUAGUGGUUAGAGUGUUGGGCCAGUAACCGAAAUGGCUGCAAGCUCGAAUCCCCGCGCUAACAAGGAAAAAAUCUGCCCUUCUGCCCCUUAACAAGGCAGCUUAUCCACUGUUCCUAGGCCAUCAUUGUAAAUAAGAAUUUGUUCCUAACUGACUUGCCUAGUAAAUAAAGGUACAAAAAUAAAUACAAAUUAAAAACCCGCAUGUGGUUGGCCUAUGAGGUAGCUCAUCUUUGGGCUACGACACCCCUUUUUGAGCAACGAAAGGUCAUUGCUAUUAAGUCAAGAUGUGUAAGGCCUAUGAGGUAGCUCAUGAUUUUGGGGUAUGACGCCCCAUUUGAGUAACGAACGAUCAUGGCUAUUGAAUCAUAUCAACAUUUGAAAGGCCUAUGAGGUAGCCGAUUUUUUGGGGAAAGAAGCACCCUUACAGUAAUGCACACAGUCACAUCAACAUGCGGUGGGCCUAGGAGCUAGCUCAUGUUUUAAUAAGGUUAAGAAGCCCCCUUUUGAGUGACCAACAGCCAUUGUUAUUGAAUCACAUGUGGCAUACCUAUGAGGUAGCUAAUUCUUGGGGGCCAAGAAUCAUCCUUUGAAUAACGCACAGUCAAAUCAAAUCAAAUCAAAUUUUAUUUGUCACAUACACAUGGUUAGCAGAUGUUAAUGCGAGUGUAGCGAAAUGCUUGUGCUUCUAGUUCCGACAAUGCAGUAAUAACCAACAAGUUAUCUAACUAACAAUACCAAAACUACUGUCUUAUACACAGUGUAAGGGGAUAAAGAAUAUGUACAUAAGGAUAUAUGAAUGAGUGAUGGUACAGAGCAGCAUAGGCAGGAUACAGUAGAUGGUAUCGAGUACAGUAUAUACAUGAAGUGAGUAUGUAAACAAAGUGGCAUAGUUAAAGUGGCUAGUGAUACAUGUAUUACAUAAGGAUGCAGUCUAUAGUACAGUAUAUACGUAUGCAUAUGAGAUGAGUAAUGUAGGGUAAGUAACAUUAUAUAAGGUAGCAUUGUUUAAAGUGGCUAGUGAUAUAUUUACAUCAUUUCCCAUAAAUUCCCAUUAUUAAAGUGGCUGGAGUUGAGUCAGUAUCAGUGUCAGUGUGUUGGCAGCAGCCACUCAAUGUUAGUGGUGGCUGUUUAACAGUCUGAUGGCCUUGAGAUAGAAGCUGUUUUUCAGUCUCUCGGUCCCAGCUUUGAUGCACCUGUACUGACCUCGCCUUCUGGAUGAUAGCGGGGUGAACAGGCAGUGGCUCGGGUGGUUGAUGUCCUUGAUAAUCUUUAUGGCCUUCCUGUAACAUCGGGUGGUGUAGGUGUCCUGGAGGGCAGGUAGUUUGCCCCCGGUGAUGCGUUGUGCAGACCUCACUACCCUCUGGAGAGCCUUAUGGUUGUGGGCGGAGCAGUUGCCGUACCAGGCGGUGAUACAGCCCGCCAGGAUGCUCUCGAUUGUGCAUCUGUAGAAGUUUGUGAGUGCUUUUGGUGACAAACCGAAUUUCUUCAGCCUCCUGAGGUUGAAGAGGCGCUGCUGCGCCUUCUUCACGAUGCUGUCUGUGUGAGUGGACCAAUUCAGUUUGUCUGUGAUGUGUAUGCCGAGGAACUUAAAACUUGCUACCCUCUCCACUACUGUUCCAUCGAUGUGGAUAGGGGGGUGUUCCCUCUGCUGUUUCCUGAAGUCCACAAUCAUCUCCUUAGUUUUGUUGACGUUGAGUGUGAGGUUAUUUUCCUGACACCACACUCCGAGGGCCCUCACCUCCUCCCUGUAGGCCGUCUCGUCGUUGUUGGUAAUCAAGCCUACCACUGUUGUGUCGUCCGCAAACUUGAUGAUUGAGUUGGAGGCGUGCGUGGCCACGCAGUCGUGGGUGAACAGGGAGUACAGGAGAGGGCUCAGAACGUACCCUUGUGGGGCCCCAGUGUUGAGGAUCAGCGGGGUGGAGAUGUUGUUGCCUACCCUCACCAUCUGGGGGCGGCCCGUCAGGAAGUCCAGUACCCAGUUGCACAGGGCGGGGUCGAGACCCAGGGUCUCGAGCUUGAUGACGAGCUUGGAGGGUACUAUGGUGUUGAAUGCCGAGCUGUAGUCGAUGAACAGCAUUCUCACAUAGGUAUUCCUCUUGUCUUGAUGGGUUAGGGCAGUGUGCAGUGUGGUUGAGAUUGCAUGGUCUGUGGACCUAUUUGGGCGGUAAUCAAAUUGGAGUGGGUCUAGGGUGUCGGGUAGGGUGGAGGUGAUAUGGUCCUUGACUAGUCUCUCAAAGCACUUCAUGAUGACGGAAGUGAGUGCUACGGGGCGGUAGUCGUUUAGCUCAGUUACCUUAGCUUUCUUGGGAACAGGAACAAUGGUGGCCCUCUUGAAGCAUGUGGGAACAGCAGACUGGGAUAAGGAUUGAUUGAAUAUGUCCGUAAACACACCGGCCAGCUGGUCUGCGCAUGCUCUGAGGGCGCGGCUGGGGAUGCCAUCUGGGCCUGCAGCCUUGCGAGGGUUAAUACGUUUAAAUGUCUUACUCACCUCGGCUGCAGUGAAGGAGAGACCGCAUGUUUUCGUUGCAGGCCGUGUCAGUGGCACUGUAUUGUCCUCAAAGCGGGCAAAAAAGUUAUUUAGUCUGCCUGGGAGCAGGACAUUCUGGUCCGUGACUGGGCUGGAUUUCUUCUUGUAGUCCGUGAUUGACUGUAGACCCUGCCACAUGCCUCUUGUGUCUGAGCCGUUUAAUUGAGAUUCUACUUUGUCUCUGUACUGACGCUUAGCUUGUUUGAAAGCCUUGCGGAGGGAAUAGCUGCACUGUUUGUAUUCGGUCAUGUUACCAGUCACCUUGCCCUGAUUAAAAGCAGUGGUUUGCGCUUUCAGUUUCACGCGAAUGCUGCCAUCAAUCCACGGUUUCUGGUUAGGGAAUGUUUUAAUCGUUGCUAUGGGAACGACAUCUUCAACGCACGUUCUAAUGAACUCGCACACCGAAUCAGCGUAUUGGUCAAUAUUGUUAUCUGACGCAAUACGAAACAUGUCCCAUUCCAC